This is a non-coding RNA of Prunus avium (sweet cherry), 3004 nucleotides long. The record is from RefSeq and is a predicted model, not a curated record. NCBI's taxonomy places the organism in Eukaryota, Viridiplantae, Streptophyta, Magnoliopsida, Rosales, Rosaceae.
UAUAUAUUGAAUUAUAUGUAUCACGUUGCAGCGAUCAGUAUGUACCCGGGACUAAUCACAGCACUACACGUAUCCUCUUUGCCUGGAAAACGGACAUCCAGUGAAGCAAGCUCAGUCUCAGCGUCCCCACAACAAAGCCCAAGGAAGGCGUACCGUACCAACCUAAGAAGCCGCACCCAGAAUGCCUCACGAUGACCAAUCUCCGCCCCCAGGCGAAGUCUCCGACUCCGCCGAUGUUGAAGAAGAAGAAGAAGACCCAGAAAUAGAAGAAGACGAGGACCCAGAGAUAGAAGAAGAAGAAGAUGACGACGACGAAGAAGACCCUGAAAUAGUAGAAGAAGAAGAAGAAGAAGAAGAAGGGGAAGAGAAUAUUGAAGAAGAAGAGGAGGAGAAGGAGGAAGAAGAAGAAGAAGAAGAGGUGGAGGAGGGAGAACAGGAAGAGAUAAUGGAAGAAGAAAGGGUUGAAGUGGAUAUGGAUAUUUCUGAUUCACCGGUUCAAGCUCGUGAUCAUCAUAACGAUGUUAGACGAGAUUAUAAGCCCGAGGGACUUGAUGGUAUACACUCAAAUGAAUCACAUGAUGAUGGAAAAGCUUAUUUGCGUCAUAGUGAGGUUAUGGAUGCUAAAGCCGCCAACUCAUCUGGUGUCGCUGGGGUAGAGAUGGCUGAUGCCAUCCUGAUGAGGGAUCACUUAGGUAAGGAGGUUAAGAGUGUUAUGAAUCCAGAGGAUGAGAUGAAACAAGGGGACAUACAUCUGAGGAAUGAUAGAAAACAAAUGGAUUCAAGAUCAGCUGCUUCUGAGAAAGUGACCAGAAUUAUGUCUCCUGUUGCUGAGACUAGUGAUCGAAACAAACGCCCAGCUAUUAUCUGUGACUUCUUUGCUAAAGGUUGGUGCAUUAGAGGUACUUCAUGUAAGUUUGUCCAUAUAAAAGACAAUCUGAAUAGUACUCAUCCACAAGGAGAUGUUGCUGCUGCAAAUUGUACUAGAGAAAUCCAGCCUGAUGAAGGUCUAAGAGACAUAACUGAGAGAUCAAGGUCACCUGGUUUUCCUGACCCUCUGGCUUCUUCACAUCUCUCUUCUGAAAAGAUCCAAUUUUCGGAACACACAGGAAUUCAGAGACGGCACCAGUCUCUUGAAAACCAUAAGUUUCCAGCAGUUCCAGGAGAGGAAUCAAAUAUGGGUGAGUAUGCACAGAAAUUGCAUUCAUCCAAAGAUGAUCAAGUCUUUCUCUCCUCGUUUAAGGAUGUAGGAAGGGAUGGUCAUGCACGUAAUUGGCCCGUUGAUGGUUAUAACAACUCACCAAUUCAUAAAGAUAAUUCUAGAUUCAUGAGUGGUUUGCAUCCUGAGCCUGGAUUUUUUUCUAAUGGAUCUACUGCGUCAUCAGGCAAGUACUCUAGAGGGAAUCCCACUUCUCAGUCGAGCUGUAUGGAGGAACCAGCUGGAAUUUGGAGCCAGCGUAUGCACAGUGAUCAUAAUUCCCCACUUGCGAGCCUUUCCUUGAAUUCAAACUCAAGUAAUCUUUUAACUAAUGGCUCAUUUCCAGCUAGCCGUAUUUCAUCUUGGACCGGAUUUUCAUUGCCUUCUAGUUAUUCCUGUUUAGAUGCAAGUCCUUAUGGUACUCAAAAGCUUUUAGACCGAAAUAGAGAUUACCGUUAUUCUACUAGAUCAUCUCCCUUACUGAAAAGCUCCUCUCCCUUCUCUAGUUCUGAAUUGAAGAAGUUGCCUUCUACCAGUGUGUCAUUGCGCUCUGAUAAACUUCAAACAAAAAUUUCUUCAAAUGAUUGGGAGCCAUCUGUACCCUUCCGGCCAUCUUUUAUUCUUCCUCCUGCAUUUCUAUCAUCUUCAGGGAGCCAGUAUGACCCUCUUCAUGACAGCAUUGAGUUACCCAAGUUAGCAAACAUCUCUUUUGAGGCUUCUUUCUAUUCUGAAGAGGCUGUCAUUGGGAACAAGUUGCAUCAUCAAAUACGUGGUGAAUCUGUUAGUGGGACUAUGCGUCCAGCUUGUGAUGGUGAUACAAACUCUAUGUCUUCACAUAAUACAUGUCAUGAAAAGGUAUUAGAUAAUAGCUGCUAUACACGUGAACAUAAUUCGCCUGUAACUGAAGCAGAGACAGUGGGGGCUUCUGUUGUCUGCCAAAAUGGAACCAUGACUAUAGAAGAAAAUCUCUUGGGGCCCUCUCAUCUCAAAGGUAAUACAAAACCACAUAAAACCAGUUCAUAUGGUGAUUCUAGACCUCAGAGUGACAGUUCUAGACACAAAAAAGACAUAACAGUAGAUAGAUUUAGAGAAAACAAUGAAGUGGAUGGUGAACAUGUGACAGAUGGGGAUGUACAGCAAGAAUCAAAAGCUCUGAGGCAUUUCCGUGCGGCUCUUGUAGAGUUAGUAAAAGAAUUGUUAAAACCAAAAUGGCGUGAAGGUUGUCUCAGCAAAGAUGCACAUAACAAGAUAGUUAAGAAAGCAGUAGAGAAGGUUCUCAGUGCUUUUCAGCCCCAUCAAAUCCCACCUACCGUAGAAACAGUUGUGCAAUACCUGUCUUCAUGCCGUCCAAAAAUCUCAAAGCUUGUUGAGGGAUAUGUUGAGAAAUAUGGCAAAUCUUGAGAUGUUAGGCCAAGUGAUUGUUCUUUUGCAGAAUUUCCUACACAGUUUACUAAUUGGAGGUGCUGUGGAGUGACAGGGUAAAAUGAAUCCUUUUGGUUUGGGAACUAAGGAUACCCAUAUGGGACCCAUGAAGUUGAAAUUACAGUUUCCAUAUCAGUCUUCCCCGAGUUAGGAUGGAUAUGAUAUGUAAUUGAUCACUUCUGCAGUAUCUUGGGUAUAAUUUGCAUAUACCUUAUUUUACUGGCUACAAAGAAUUUGGCAUAGUGCGGCAGAUUUUCAUUAAGAUAAUGAAAAAUAAAAAUAAGCAUAGUGUAGAUAUCAAAAGAUGUUUAUUUUGAAUUUCUGAAGUUGAAGUUGACUUUUAAUAUUGCUAGCAUUGGAAUUUGAAGUUGUACUGUUCAUCCUCUU